AUGGCGCACGAUCUCGUCGUCGCUUGCCAGAAAUCGAACGGGCUCAAGAAGCUCUUCUGUGCCGGCGAGCAGGCUGCGAAGUUCAAGAAAGUCAACGACAUUCAAUUGCUCAGCCAAAUCUCCCUUACCCACCGCCUCGACCAGAUCCUCUCUCCUGAUGCAACAACUAUGGUUGCUUCUGCAUCUGCUAUGGUGCCGGCGCCAGGCAAAGGCUUCGACUCGCGCUCUCUGCAGCUCAAGGCAGCUGCGCACUUCACGUCAGCGGAGAUCGCCGUCUUGACCGGCAACUACGGCCAUGUGCUCAGUGAGGACAGCUCCGGAACGGUGUACAAGGGCCGUCUCCACGACGGCCAGGAGGUGGCCGUCAAGAGCCUGAAGAACCACGGGAGUCAACGAGAGGGUGCGUUCGUGGCGGAGAUCGAGAUCCUCCGAAACCUCCGUCACAACCACAUCGUGCGCCUGGUGGGCUGGUGCACGGAGGAUGACGAACGCAUGUUCGUCUACCAAUACCAGCACACGAGCAACGGCACGCUCAGGGAUCACCUGACGCCGGGCGGAAGCGGCGGCUCUGCCUCUGCGUCGCCGGUGACGUCGUCCUGGAAAACGCGUCUCCAGGCGCUGCUGGGCGCGGCCGGUGCCAUCGACCACCUGCACCGCUUCGCCGUGCCGGGGAUCAUCCACCGAAACGUCAGCUCCUCGAGCAUCCUUCUCGACAAGAGCUGUGUGCCUUGCCUGUCGGACUUCGGCGCGGCGAUUUUGCAAGUGCCGACGACGGGCGGCCAGCACGUCGGGGACGUAGUCGGCAAAGUCGGGUACACAGACCCGGAGUACUGCCGCACGAGGUGCGUGAGUCCGGCGAGCGACGCGUACAGCUUCGGCGUGGUGAUACUCGAGGUGUUGACUGGCAGGCCGCCUAGCUGGGAGGGGAAGGACCCGAACACCUUGGUUGGCUUUGCCGUCCCGGCCAUCGAGAGUAGGAACUAG
This 984-nucleotide ribosomal RNA is filed under the name Triticum aestivum (bread wheat). RNAcentral describes it as "partial small subunit ribosomal RNA". The record is from RNAcentral. Lineage: Eukaryota; Viridiplantae; Streptophyta; Magnoliopsida; Poales; Poaceae.